Long non-coding RNA from Suricata suricatta (meerkat), 2099 nucleotides. RefSeq lists it as uncharacterized. The record is from RefSeq and is a predicted model, not a curated record. NCBI's taxonomy places the organism in Eukaryota, Metazoa, Chordata, Mammalia, Carnivora, Herpestidae. The transcript is spliced from 2 exons.
GAACCACUGGCCUGGCCCCACCGUCAGUUUGCCGCGAGGAAGCGGAGGUAAGGGAAUUAUUCGUGCCUGGUCACAGACUGUCACCUGCGGAUCCGCCGGGCCCGCGCAGCCAGCCUGGGCCAAUGCUCGCGGGUACCUGGGCUUCGGGCCGGGUAAACUAGAGCUGUGUGCUCUCUGAGGACAGGACUCUUCAGCCCUCUGCCGAUAGUACUGGAUGGACAGACCGGCCCAUAUGGCGCUAUCUCUGUAGUCCCAGCUGCUGCUUUCACACCGAAGGUUCCCAAGGAGGCACACCUGUGCAGGAAGGACCGCUGGGUCUUCAUCAUUGAUAGAGGCUUGGGGCCAGACUCAAAGUCCCCACCCUUCUUGAAGCAGCUCGAAGAUUCCUAGGGGAGUGACAUGCCUGUAAGAGGGAUCUGACCCUCAAGACUUGGGUUUGGGCACUGGGUCCUGUAUGGUCGACAUCAGAGGAUGUCUGCCCGGAAGGAAGGAAAUAGGCACACUGACCCUGGAGGGAAGGCUGCAGAACCCUCGCGCAGCAGCUGACUCAGGUGUUUGGGGCCAUCGCAGAGCAGUGGCCGAAGGGAACAUGGUCUGCAGUGCUGCAGGCUGGGGACGGAUGGAGCGGAUGCGAGAGGAGGCUGAUCUGAGAGGAGGCUGAUUGCAAAACGUUUGGAGUACAAGUGUAUGCACACUAAGUAUUUGCUGAUUGGCUAACUGAGAAGCUCCAGGAUUUUUCAAACGUUCCUAAUUGUAAAAACCUCGAUUCUUUAUGUUCAGAGAGGGGCCUGGGAAUCUGUAUAUUUGACAAGACACGCCCCCGCCGCCCCCAGGUAAGUCUCAUGGAAUAGGAGGUUCCCGUUGCCUUCCCAUCGCCCAGGCCUGGGAGCUGUGGUGCCCUUGCCUUCCAGCACCCCCUGAAGCACCAUGAUGCCCCCACUCCACACACACCCAGCCCAGGCCAGCCUCACUCACUUGUAGAGCAAUCUUCCUGGAGGAGCCCAGAGCAUGUCUGUCCAUAUUGCAGCAGGAGGCCUCCCAGGCUAGCCUGGGCUGUGGGAUAAUUUGAUAUUCAAAUCCUGGCAAAGACCUGCUUCAAGUUGCUGCAAAUUAAGCUGAUUUUGUCCCUCCGAAUGAGGGAUUUGCUUCUGUGGAUCAACCCUUCCCAGCACUUGAUGAGGUCAGGAUUAGAGCUGGAGGGACAGGGAGAAAAGCCCGAGGCGGGAGGCCUGAGGUCUGGAGAGGUGGUGGGAGGGGGAGCCCAGAUCCCCGGGGGCCUCCUACAGACCCUGGAGUUCAGCAAGCUUCCCAUGGUCUCAAAAAAUCAGCUCUUCCCAGUGAUCGCAGGGGCUCUGGGCCCCAAAUGGGCUGACCUCACCCCUCAUGUCCUCAGGAGAGACCAGUCCCAUCCCAUUCCCAAGGCCAUUUGUGGAGCUCAUCUAAUCUUUCUAAGCACUGGUGAGGCAGGGCAGCACUGAUCACCCCAUUUCACUGAUAAGGAAAUGAAGGCUCCAAGAGGGAAGAAGAGACUCCACCAGCCACAGAUAGCCUGGCCUCCACCACUGCCACCAAAGUGCUGUGUGACCUUGAGCACGAGGCCUCUCUGAGCCUCCCCAGAAGGAUUAUUGACAAUAUGCACGGUGCCAGGCACAUGGCAAGCACUCCACCAAACACCGGCCAAGGUUACUACCCACAGAGUAAGCACUCCAUAAAUGUCGGCCAAGGUUGCUACUCAGAGCAGGGAUUGGAAGCUGGUCUUCUCUGGGCCUUGUAGAGAAGUCAUUCCCUGCCUUCUCCUGGAGGUCUGAGCCUGCUCCCGACUCUACCCCUCCUGACAGGACCCCCCCUCCCUGGAAGAACCUCAUUUCCAUCUGUUUUAUCAAGGCCUGUCCUGUAUCUUGCAGCCAUUUCAAAUUGCACCAUUAAAGAUUUUAUGCUGGAGACGUUAAAAUUAAAAAGAUCUAUGUGCAAAGAGUCACAACGAAUUUAAUCAACUUGAUUUAAUAGAAAACAGCAAAUGGAAUUUAUGAUGCUCCAAAAGACAAGGGAAUUUUUUUUUCAACAAAAAAUAAUAAAAAGCACUUUGUGGAAAACAGAAA